RNAcentral lists this ribosomal RNA (465 nucleotides) under Vreelandella stevensii. RNAcentral's name for it is "partial 16S ribosomal RNA". It matches the Rfam family "Bacterial small subunit ribosomal RNA", at positions 338 to 795 of the family's 1533-position model. The record is from RNAcentral. Lineage: Bacteria; Pseudomonadati; Pseudomonadota; Gammaproteobacteria; Oceanospirillales; Halomonadaceae.
CCUACGGGAGGCCGCAGUGGGGAAUAUUGGACAAUGGGCGAAAGCCUGAUCCAGCCAUGCCGCGUGUGUGAAGAAGGCCUUCGGGUUGUAAAGCACUUUCAGUGGGGAAGAAAGCCUUGGGGCUAAUACCCUCGAGGAAGGACAUCACCCACAGAAGAAGCACCGGCUAACUCCGUGCCAGCAGCCGCGGUAAUACGGAGGGUGCGAGCGUUAAUCGGAAUUACUGGGCGUAAAGCGCGCGUAGGCGGUCUGAUAAGCCGGUUGUGAAAGCCCCGGGCUCAACCUGGGAACGGCAUCCGGAACUGUCAGGCUAGAGUGCAGGAGAGGAAGGUAGAAUUCCCGGUGUAGCGGUGAAAUGCGUAGAGAUCGGGAGGAAUACCAGUGGCGAAGGCGGCCUUCUGGACUGACACUGACGCUGAGGUGCGAAAGCGUGGGUAGCAAACAGGAUUAGAUACCCUAGUAGUC